AACGAACGCUGGCGGCAGGCUUAACACAUGCAAGUCGAACGCCCCGCAAGGGGAGUGGCAGACGGGUGAGUAACGCGUGGGAACAUACCCUUUUCUACGGAAUAGCUCUGGGAAACUGGAAUUAAUACCGUAUACACCCUACGGGGGAAAGAUUUAUCGGGGAAGGAUUGGCCCGCGUUGGAUUAGCUAGUUGGUGGGGUAAAGGCCUACCAAGGCGACGAUCCAUAGCUGGUCUGAGAGGAUGAUCAGCCACAUUGGGACUGAGACACGGCCCAAACUCCUACGGGAGGCAGCAGUGGGGAAUAUUGGACAAUGGGCGCAAGCCUGAUCCAGCCAUGCCGCGUGAGUGAUGAAGGCCUUAGGGUUGUAAAGCUCUUUCACCGAUGAAGAUAAUGACGGUAGUCGGAGAAGAAGCCCCGGCUAACUUCGUG
RNAcentral lists this ribosomal RNA (431 nucleotides) under uncultured bacterium. Its description in RNAcentral is "partial 16S ribosomal RNA". It matches the Rfam family "Bacterial small subunit ribosomal RNA", at positions 29 to 507 of the family's 1533-position model. The record is from RNAcentral.